This 253-nucleotide ribosomal RNA is filed under the name uncultured bacterium. RNAcentral's name for it is "partial 16S ribosomal RNA". It matches the Rfam family "Bacterial small subunit ribosomal RNA", at positions 524 to 776 of the family's 1533-position model. The record is from RNAcentral.
UACAGAGGGUGCGAGCGUUGUCCGGAAUCACUGGGCGUAAAGGGCGCGUAGGUGGCCCGACAAGUCUGUGGUGAAAGCUCGACGCUCAACGUCGAGUCGGCCAUAGAUACUGUUGGGCUGGAGCACUGUAGAGGCUCAUGGAAUUCCGGGUGUAGCGGUGGAAUGCGUAGAGAUCCGGAAGAACACCGGUGGCGAAGGCGGCCUGCUGGGCAGUAGCUGACGCUGAGGCGCGACAGCGUGGGGAGCAAACAGG